UACGUAGGGGGCAAGCGUUAUCCGGAAUCACUGGGCGUAAAGGGAGCGUAGGCGGUUUGACAAGCCAGAGGUGAAAGGCAAUAGCUUAACUAUUGUAAGCCUUUGGAACUGUCGAACUUGAGUGCAGGAGAGGAAAGUGGAAUUCCUAGUGUAGCGGUGAAAUGCGUAGAUAUUAGGAGGAACACCAGUGGCGAAGGCGACUUUCUGGACUGUAACUGACGCUGAGGCUCGAAAGCGUGGGGAGCGAACAGGAUUAGAUACCCCAGUAGU
Molecule: ribosomal RNA, 270 nt
Filed under: uncultured bacterium
Lineage: Bacteria
Description: partial 16S ribosomal RNA
Rfam family: Bacterial small subunit ribosomal RNA
Source: RNAcentral